Molecule: unclassified non-coding RNA, 336 nt
Filed under: soil metagenome
Description: partial contains 5.8S ribosomal RNA, internal transcribed spacer 2, and large subunit ribosomal RNA
Rfam family: 5.8S ribosomal RNA (bases 1-120)
Source: RNAcentral
GAUGAAGAACGAAGCGAAAUGCGAUAAGUAGUGUGAAUUGCAGAAUUCAGUGAAUCAUCGAAUCUUUGAACGCACAUUGCGCCCCUUGGUAUUCCAUGGGGCAUGCCUGUUCGAGCGUCAUUUGUACCUUCAAGCUUUGCUUGGUGUUGGGUGUUUGUCUCGCCUUUGCGUGUAGACUCGCCUUAAAAUAAUUGGCAGCCGGCGUAUUGAUUUCGGAGCGCAGUACAUCUCGCGCUUUGCACUCAUAACGACAGCGUCCAAAAGUACAUUUUACACUCUUGACCUCGGAUCAGGCAGGGAUACCCGCUGAACUUAAGCAUAUCAAUAAGCGGAGGA